RNAcentral lists this ribosomal RNA (253 nucleotides) under uncultured bacterium. RNAcentral's name for it is "partial 16S ribosomal RNA". It matches the Rfam family "Bacterial small subunit ribosomal RNA", at positions 524 to 776 of the family's 1533-position model. The record is from RNAcentral.
UACGUAGGGGGCAAGCGUUGUCCGGAAUCAUUGGGCGUAAAGAGCGUGUAGGCGGCCCGGUAAGUCUGUUGUGAAAGUCCAGGGCUCAACCCUGGAAUGCCGAUGGAUACUGCCGGGCUAGAGUUCGGAAGAGGCGAGUGGAAUUCCUGGUGUAGCGGUGGAAUGCGCAGAUAUCAGGAGGAACACCAAUGGCGAAGGCAGCUCGCUGGGACGGUACUGACGCUGAGACGCGAAAGCGUGGGGAGCAAACAGG